UUAAGCGACUAAGCGUACACGGUGGAUGCCCUGGCAGUCAGAGGCGAUGAAGGACGUGCUAAUCUGCGAUAAGCGUCGGUAAGGUGAUAUGAACCGUUAUAACCGGCGAUUUCCGAAUGGGGAAACCCAGUGUGAUUCGUCACACUAUCAUUAACUGAAUCCAUAGGUUAAUGAGGCGAACCGGGGGAACUGAAACAUCUAAGUACCCCGAGGAAAAGAAAUCAACCGAGAUUCCCCCAGUAGCGGCGAGCGAACGGGGAGGAGCCCAGAGCCUGAAUCAGUGUGUGUGUUAGUGGAAGCGUCUGGAAAGGCGCGCGAUACAGGGUGACAGCCCCGUACACAAAAAUGCACAUGCUGUGAGCUCGAUGAGUAGGGCGGGACACGUGGUAUCCUGUCUGAAUAUGGGGGGACCAUCCUCCAAGGCUAAAUACUCCUGACUGACCGAUAGUGAACCAGUACCGUGAGGGAAAGGCGAAAAGAACCCCGGCGAGGGGAGUGAAAAAGAACCUGAAACCGUGUACGUACAAGCAGUGGGAGCCUCUUAAUGGGGUGACUGCGUACCUUUUGUAUAAUGGGUCAGCGACUUAUAUUCUGUAGCAAGGUUAACCGAAUAGGGGAGCCGAAGGGAAACCGAGUCUUAACUGGGCGUUAAGUUGCAGGGUAUAGACCCGAAACCCGGUGAUCUAGCCAUGGGCAGGUUGAAGGUUGGGUAACACUAACUGGAGGACCGAACCGACUAAUGUUGAAAAAUUAGCGGAUGACUUGUGGCUGGGGGUGAAAGGCCAAUCAAACCGGGAGAUAGCUGGUUCUCCCCGAAAGCUAUUUAGGUAGCGCCUCGUGAAUUCAUCUCCGGGGGUAGAGCACUGUUUCGGCAAGGGGGUCAUCCCGACUUACCAACCCGAUGCAAACUGCGAAUACCGGAGAAUGUUAUCACGGGAGACACACGGCGGGUGCUAACGUCCGUCGUGAAGAGGGAAACAACCCAGACCGCCAGCUAAGGUCCCAAAGUCAUGGUUAAGUGGGAAACGAUGUGGGAAGGCCCAGACAGCCAGGAUGUUGGCUUAGAAGCAGCCAUCAUUUAAAGAAAGCGUAAUAGCUCACUGGUCGAGUCGGCCUGCGCGGAAGAUGUAACGGGGCUAAACCAUGCACCGAAGCUGCGGCAGCGACACUAUGUGUUGUUGGGUAGGGGAGCGUUCUGUAAGCCUGUGAAGGUGGCCUGUGAGGGUUGCUGGAGGUAUCAGAAGUGCGAAUGCUGACAUAAGUAACGAUAAAGCGGGUGAAAAGCCCGCUCGCCGGAAGACCAAGGGUUCCUGUCCAACGUUAAUCGGGGCAGGGUGAGUCGACCCCUAAGGCGAGGCCGAAAGGCGUAGUCGAUGGGAAACAGGUUAAUAUUCCUGUACUUGGUGUUACUGCGAAGGGGGGACGGAGAAGGCUAUGUUGGCCGGGCGACGGUUGUCCCGGUUUAAGCGUGUAGGCUGGUUUUCCAGGCAAAUCCGGAAAACCAAGGCUGAGGCGUGAUGACGAGGCACUACGGUGCUGAAGUGACAAAUGCCCUGCUUCCAGGAAAAGCCUCUAAGCAUCAGGUAACAUCAAAUCGUACCCCAAACCGACACAGGUGGUCAGGUAGAGAAUACCAAGGCGCUUGAGAGAACUCGGGUGAAGGAACUAGGCAAAAUGGUGCCGUAACUUCGGGAGAAGGCACGCUGAUAUGUAGGUGAAGCGACUUGCUCGUGGAGCUGAAAUCAGUCGAAGAUACCAGCUGGCUGCAACUGUUUAUUAAAAACACAGCACUGUGCAAACACGAAAGUGGACGUAUACGGUGUGACGCCUGCCCGGUGCCGGAAGGUUAAUUGAUGGGGUUAGCGGUAACGCGAAGCUCUUGAUCGAAGUCCCGGUAAACGGCGGCCGUAACUAUAACGGUCCUAAGGUAGCGAAAUUCCUUGUCGGGUAAGUUCCGACCUGCACGAAUGGCGUAAUGAUGGCCAGGCUGUCUCCACCCGAGACUCAGUGAAAUUGAACUCGCUGUGAAGAUGCAGUGUACCCGCGGCAAGACGGAAAGACCCCGUGAACCUUUACUAUAGCUUGACACUGAACAUUGAGCCUUGAUGUGUAGGAUAGGUGGGAGGCUUUGAAGUGUGGACGCCAGUCUGCAUGGAGCCGACCUUGAAAUACCACCCUUUAAUGUUUGAUGUUCUAACGUUGGCCCCUAAUCGGGGUUGCGGACAGUGUCUGGUGGGUAGUUUGACUGGGGCGGUCUCCUCCUAAAGAGUAACGGAGGAGCACGAAGGUUGGCUAAUCCUGGUCGGACAUCAGGAGGUUAGUGCAAUGGCAUAAGCCAGCUUGACUGCGAGCGUGACGGCGCGAGCAGGUGCGAAAGCAGGUCAUAGUGAUCCGGUGGUUCUGAAUGGAAGGGCCAUCGCUCAACGGAUAAAAGGUACUCCGGGGAUAACAGGCUGAUACCGCCCAAGAGUUCAUAUCGACGGCGGUGUUUGGCACCUCGAUGUCGGCUCAUCACAUCCUGGGGCUGAAGUAGGUCCCAAGGGUAUGGCUGUUCGCCAUUUAAAGUGGUACGCGAGCUGGGUUUAGAACGUCGUGAGACAGUUCGGUCCCUAUCUGCCGUGGGCGCUGGAGAACUGAGGGGGGCUGCUCCUAGUACGAGAGGACCGGAGUGGACGUAUCACUGGUGUUCGGGUUGUCAUGCCAAUGGCACUGCCCGGUAGCUAAAUGCGGAAGAGAUAAGUGCUGAAAGCAUCUAAGCACGAAACUUGCCCCGAGAUGAGUUCUCCCUGAGUCCUUGAGUCUCCUGAAGGAACGUUGAAGACGACGACGUUGAUAGGCCGGGUGUGUAAGCGCAGCGAUGCGUUGAGCUAACCGGUACUAAUGAACCGUGAGGCUUAACCUU
Molecule: ribosomal RNA, 2902 nt
Filed under: Escherichia coli KOEGE 58 (171a)
Lineage: Bacteria; Pseudomonadati; Pseudomonadota; Gammaproteobacteria; Enterobacterales; Enterobacteriaceae
Description: bacterial LSU rRNA
Rfam family: Bacterial large subunit ribosomal RNA
Source: RNAcentral